GACGAACGCUGGCGGCGUGCUUAACACAUGCAAGUCGAACGGAAAGGCCCUGCUUUUGUGGGGUGCUCGAGUGGCGAACGGGUGAGUAACACGUGAGUAACCUGCCCUUGACUUUGGGAUAACUUCAGGAAACUGGGGCUAAUACCGGAUAGGAGCUCCUGCUGCAUGGUGGGGGUUGGAAAGUUUCGGCGGUUGGGGAUGGACUCGCGGCUUAUCAGCUUGUUGGUGGGGUAGUGGCUUACCAAGGCUUUGACGGGUAGCCGGCCUGAGAGGGUGACCGGCCACAUUGGGACUGAGAUACGGCCCAGACUCCUACGGGAGGCAGCAGUGGGGAAUAUUGCACAAUGGGCGGAAGCCUGAUGCAGCAACGCCGCGUGCGGGAUGACGGCCUUCGGGUUGUAAACCGCUUUCGCCUGUGACGAAGCGUGAGUGACGGUAAUGGGUAAAGAAGCACCGGCUAACUACGUGCCGGCAGCCGCGGUGAUACGUAGGGUGCGAGCGUUGUCCGGAUUUAUUGGGCGUAAAGGGUUCGUAGGUGGUUGAUCGCGUCGGAAGUGUAAUCUUGGGGCUUAACCCUGAGCGUGCUUUCGAUACGGGUUGACUUGAGGAAGGUAGGGGAGAAUGGAAUUCCUGGUGGAGCGGUGGAAUGCGCAGAUAUCAGGAGGAACACCAGCGGCGAAGGCGGUUCUCUGGGCCUUUCCUGACGCUGAGGAGCGAAAGCGUGGGGAGCGAACAGGCUUAGAUACCCUGGUAGUCCACGCUGUAAACGGUGGGUACUAGGUGUGGGGUCCAUUCCACGGGUUCCGUGCCGUAGCUAACGCUUUAAGUACCCCGCCUGGGGAGUACGGCCGCAAGGCUAAAACUCAAAGGAAUUGACGGGGCCCCGCACAAGCGGCGGAGCAUGCGGAUUAAUUCGAUGCAACGCGCAGAACCUUACCUGGGUUUGACAUGGAUCGGGAGCGCUCAGAGAUGGGUGUGCCUCUUUUGGGGUCGGUUCACAGGUGGUGCAUGGCUGUCGUCAGCUCGUGUCGUGAGAUGUUGGGUUAAGUCCCGCAACGAGCGCAACCCUUGUUCACUGUUGCCAGCACGUUAUGGUGGGGACUCAGUGGAGACCGCCGGGGUCAACUCGGAGGAAGGUGGGGAUGACGUCAAGUCAUCAUGCCCCUUAUGUCCAGGGCUUCACGCAUGCUACAAUGGCUGGUACAGAGAGUGGCGAGCCUGUGAGGGUGAGCGAAUCUCGGAAAGCCGGUCUCAGUUCGGAUUGGGGUCUGCAACUCGACCUCAUGAAGUCGGAGUCGCUAGUAAUCGCAGAUCAGCAACGCUGCGGUGAAUACGUUCCCGGG
Molecule: ribosomal RNA, 1343 nt
Filed under: uncultured bacterium
Lineage: Bacteria
Description: 16S ribosomal RNA
Rfam family: Bacterial small subunit ribosomal RNA
Source: RNAcentral